RNAcentral lists this ribosomal RNA (301 nucleotides) under uncultured bacterium. RNAcentral describes it as "partial 16S ribosomal RNA". It matches the Rfam family "Bacterial small subunit ribosomal RNA", at positions 509 to 807 of the family's 1533-position model. The record is from RNAcentral.
CAGCCGCCGCGGUAAUACGAAGGGGGCUAGCGUUGCUCGGAAUGACUGGGCGUAAAGGGCGCGUAGGCGGAUGGCACAGUCAGAUGUGAAAUUCCCGGGCUUAACCUGGGGGCUGCAUUUGAUACGUGUUGUCUAGAGUGAGGAAGAGGGUCGUGGAAUUCCCAGUGUAGAGGUGAAAUUCGUAGAUAUUGGGAAGAACACCGGUGGCGAAGGCGGCGACCUGGUCCUUUACUGACGCUGAGGCGCGAAAGCGUGGGGAGCAAACAGGAUUAGAUACCCCAGUAGUCCCUGUCUCUUAUAC